AAAGUCGUAACAAGGUUUCCGUAGGUGAACCUGCGGAAGGAUCAUUAAUGAAGUGCUUGGCGUCUUCGGACCCAAACCCCCUCUCAUUAUCCUUUCACCUGUGCACUGUUUGGCGGGGCCGCGGGCACCGGCCUGUCGUUUCGGCAGGCCGGCGUCCGGGCGCCCUGUCCACCCCCCACACCCCCUUUAAACAACGUUGAUGAAUGUCCUUUGUCGGCAGUCGACCGCUCGCGGCCGGCUCCGGUUCAACAAACACAAACACAACUUUUAGCAACGGAUCUCUUGGCUCUC
This 291-nucleotide unclassified non-coding RNA is filed under the name Basidiomycota sp. RNAcentral describes it as "partial contains small subunit ribosomal RNA, internal transcribed spacer 1, and 5.8S ribosomal RNA". The stretch from base 1 to 47 matches the Rfam family "Eukaryotic small subunit ribosomal RNA", at positions 1785 to 1831 of the family's 1831-position model. Lineage: Eukaryota; Fungi; Basidiomycota. The record is from RNAcentral.